This 1450-nucleotide ribosomal RNA is filed under the name metagenome. RNAcentral's name for it is "bacterial SSU rRNA". It matches the Rfam family "Bacterial small subunit ribosomal RNA". The record is from RNAcentral.
AGAGUUUGAUCCUGGCUCAGGAUGAACGCUGACAGAAUGCUUAACACAUGCAAGUCUACUUGAAAAUUCCUUCGGGGAUGAUUAGGGUGGCGAACGGGUGAGUAACGCGUAAAGAACUUGCCCUUCAGCUGGGGACAACAUUGGGAAACCGAUGCUAAUACCCGAUACGAUUACUUUAUGGCAUCAUAAGGUAAUGAAAGCUAUAUGCGCUGAAGGAGAGCUUUGCGUCCUAUUAGCUAGUUGGUGAGGUAAUGGCUCACCAAGGCGACGAUAGGUAGCCGGCCUGAGAGGGUGAACGGCCACAAGGGAACUGAGACACGGUCCUUACUCCUACGGGAGGCAGCAGUGGGGAAUAUUUGACAAUGGGCUAACCGCCUGAUCCAGCAAUUCUGUGUGGGUGAAGAAGGUUUUCGGAUUGUAAAACCCUUUCAACAGGGAAGAAGAAAGUGACGGUACCUGUAGAAGAAGCAACGGCUAAUUACGUGCCAGCAGCCGCGGUAAGACGUAAGUUGCAAGCGUUAUCCGGAAUUACUGGGCAUAAAGGGCAUCUAGGCGGUUUAAUAAGUCAGAGGUGAAAAGUCAGGGCUCAACCUUGGCCUUGCCUUUGAAACUGUUAGACUAGAGUAUGGGAGAGGAGGGCGGAACUACAAGUGUAGGGGUGAAAUCCGUAGAUAUUUGUAGGAAUGCCGAUGACGAAGGUAGCUCUCUGGACCAAAACUGACGCUGAAGUGCGAAAGCUAGGGUAGCAAACGGGAUUAGAUACCCCGGUAGUCCUAGCUGUAAACGAUGAUUACUGGGUGUGGGCUGUCAAAGGUCUGUGCCGAAGCAAAUGCGAUAAGUAAUCCGCCUGGGGAGUACGACCGCAAGGUUGAAACUCAAAGGAAUUGACGGGGACCCGCACAAGCGGUGGAGCAUGUGGUUUAAUUCGACGCAACGCGAGGAACCUUACCAGGUCUUGACAUCCAUUGAAUCUUUUAGAGAUAGAAGAGUGCCUUCGGGAACAAUGAGACAGGUGGUGCAUGGCUGUCGUCAGCUCGUGUCGUGAGAUGUUGGGUUAAGUCCCGCAACGAGCGCAACCCCUAUUGUAUGUUGCUAACAUUAAGUUGAGGACUCAUACGAGACUGCCUGCGACGAGCAGGAGGAAGGUGGGGAUGACGUCAAGUCAUCAUGCCCCUUAUGACCUGGGCUACACACGUGCUACAAUGGGUAUUACAGAGAGAAGCGAAGCAGUGAUGUGGAGCCAAACUCAGAAAGAUAUUCGUAGUUCGGAUUGAAGUCUGCAACUCGACUUCAUGAAGUUGGAAUCGCUAGUAAUCGCGAAUCAGCAAUGUCGCGGUGAAUACGUUCUCGGGUCUUGUACACACCGCCCGUCACACCACGAGAGUUUGUUGCACCUGAAGUAACUGGCCUAACCGUAAGGAGGGAGGUUCCUAAGGUGUGAUGAGCGAUU